Gaeumannomyces graminis is the source of this 98-nucleotide transfer RNA. It matches the Rfam family "tRNA". Rfam says of the family: Transfer RNA (tRNA) molecules are approximately 80 nucleotides in length. Their secondary structure includes four short double-helical elements and three loops (D, anti-codon, and T loops). Further hydrogen bonds mediate the characteristic L-shaped molecular structure. tRNAs have two regions of fundamental functional importance: the anti-codon, which is responsible for specific mRNA codon recognition, and the 3' end, to which the tRNAs corresponding amino acid is attached (by aminoacyl-tRNA synthetases). tRNAs cope with the degeneracy of the genetic code in two manners: having more than one tRNA (with a specific anti-codon) for a particular amino acid; and 'wobble' base-pairing, i.e. permitting non-standard base-pairing at the 3rd anti-codon position. NCBI's taxonomy places the organism in Eukaryota, Fungi, Ascomycota, Sordariomycetes, Magnaporthales, Magnaporthaceae. The record is from Rfam.
GGGGUUGUAGCGCAGUUGGCAGCGCAUAGGUUCCUAUAUGGAGAAGUACCUGCACAAGGGCCAUCCUAAGGUCGUGAGUUCAAGUCUCACCGAUCCCU